CAAAGGUUUGGUCCUGGCUUUUUUAUUAGUUGUUAGUAAAAUUAUACAUGCAAGUAUCAUCCCGCCAGUGAGAAUGCCCUCCAACUCAAUAAUGAUUUGCAGGAGCAGGUAUCAAGCACACCUAGAGUAGCUCACAACACCUUGCUCAGCCACACCCCCACGGGAUACAGCAGUAAUCAAAAUUAAGCAAUAAACGAAAGUUUGACUAAGUUAUGCUAACAAUAUCUAGGGUUGGUAAAUCUCGUGCCAGCCACCGCGGUCAUACGAUUAACCCUAAUUAAUAAACCCCGGCGUAAAGAGUGCUAAAAAUUACAAGCAAAAUAAGAUAAAGCCUUAUCCAAGUCGUAAAAAACAAAAGAUAAAAGAAAACUCACAGACGAAAGUAAUCUUAACAAACUUGAACCACCAAAGCUAAGACCCAAACUGGGAUUAGAUACCCCACUAUGCUUAGCCGUAAACAUAAAUACUUAAUAACAAAAAUAUUCGCCAGAGAACUACUAGCUAUAGCUUAAAACUCAAAGGACUUGGCGGUGCUUUAAACCCACCUAGAGGAGCCUGUUCUAUAAUCGAUAAACCCCGAUAAACCUCACCACUUCUUGCUAAUCCAGUCUAUAUACCGCCAUCUUCAGCAAACCCCAAUAGGGAUAAAAAGUAAGCACAACUACUUCCAUAAAAACGUUAGGUCAAGGUGUAACUAAUGAAGUGGAAAGAAAUGGGCUACAUUUUCUUAACUGCAAGAAAACUUUUAACAGUAAUCUUUAUGAAAUCUAAAGAUUUAAGGAGGAUUUAGUAGUAAAUUAAGAAUAGAGAGCUUAAUUGAAUUAGGCCAUAAAGCACGCACACACCGCCCGUCACC
RNAcentral lists this non-coding RNA (856 nucleotides) under Trinomys paratus. RNAcentral describes it as "partial 12S ribosomal RNA". It matches the Rfam family "Bacterial small subunit ribosomal RNA". The record is from RNAcentral. Lineage: Eukaryota; Metazoa; Chordata; Mammalia; Rodentia; Echimyidae.